AUAAGUUAAGCUGAUUGUCCCGGCACAUGUACAUACGUGUGUUUUCAUUCCUUCAACAUCACUCCUCGUCUGUAGACAUGGCAAGCCAGAUCUCUGCGUUCGUGCGAAGAGUUACCAGCUCAGAAGUAUCGAGUCCCAACCCAUGUGCAAUGGUUUUAGCUUUGGCCACUCUCAUUGGAGUAGUAAUGCUUAUUACCGGAUCCUUGUUGUGAGGCAAAGGACGGAAAUGUUUACGCUUCAUGACCGCUAUCCACCCAAUCCCUGAUACUCGCUUACGAUAAAAUGUUACGAGAAUGAGUAUGGUUGAGAAAACCACGACGUCUUCUGUAGACAACGCCCUUCUCGCCCAAAAUAAUCAGUGCAUAUCGAAGGAGCGAUGAAUACGACUUUACGGAUCCGGUCCACCCCCAGGGGACUACUGAAGAAAUGGCCCACCUACAAAUCAGCGUACACCCGGGGUCAUCUCGCGCUUGGCUGGACAACACAAAGACAAAAGGACAAAUCCUCUAUGUGCUUUAAUUGCAUGGAAUCUAUCGUCACUGACGUCAUACAUUUUAAUUGUCGUUAUAAUGCGAGUUUAGUAGUCCAUCCAUUUCCACACAUAGGUCUCCUUUUCAAGUCUGGAAGUGGAAUAUAGGUCGUUCAUCAUGUUCUUAUUCUGUUGUUUGGAUACUUUUUUGCUAUUUUGUACCCCCCCCCCCUUAUCACCAUAUAGCACUACAAACUACAAACGUCAUACGUCAGAAAGUAAUUCAUUCAUCGUUCAACGCUAGAUUAUGCCCACUCUGAGAAUAUAAACAUGACCAUUGGAAGGAAGUACAGUGUUGUAUUGAUGUUUGAAAUGCUUACCAAGCCGCUAACUGUCACGGAGAAAUGUUUUAUUCGAGAUGUAUUGCUGUCUGGACAAUAUUAUCAUUUCCUGUAACCUUACUGUUACCUAGUUGACGAAUGUUAUUAAUCUAUUAAAGUUAGCUUUGAUGCAGACUCUGUCUCGUGGUUUCACGGGUUGUGAAUAAAGUAGUUCACACUCAA
This is a long non-coding RNA of Branchiostoma floridae (Florida lancelet), 1032 nucleotides long. RefSeq lists it as uncharacterized. Lineage: Eukaryota; Metazoa; Chordata; Leptocardii; Amphioxiformes; Branchiostomatidae. The transcript is spliced from 2 exons. The record is from RefSeq and is a predicted model, not a curated record.